GAUGAACGCUGGCGGCGUGCCUAAUACAUGCGAGUCGAGCGAACGGACGAGAAGCUUGCUUUUCUGAUGUUAGCGGCGGACGGGUGGGUAACACGUGGAUAACCUACCUAUAAGACUGGGAUAACUUCGGGAAACCGGAGCUAAUACCGGAUAAUAUUUUGAACCGCAUGGUUCAAAAGUGAAAGACGGUCUUGCUGUCACUUAUAGAUGGAUCCGCGCUGCAUUAGCUAGUUGGUAAGGUAACGGCUUACCAAGGCAACGAUGCAUAGCCGUCCUGAGAGGGUGAUCGGCCACACUGGAACUGAGACACGGUCCAGACUCCUACGGGAGGCAGCAGUAGGGAAUCUUCCGCAAUGGGCGAAAGCCUGACGGAGCAACGCCGCGUGAGUGAUGAAGGUCUUCGGAUCGUAAAACUCUGUUAUUAGGGAAGAACAUAUGUGUAAGUAACUGUGCACAUCUUGACGGUACCUAAUCAGAAAGCCACGGCUAACUACGUG
This 497-nucleotide ribosomal RNA is filed under the name uncultured bacterium. RNAcentral's name for it is "partial 16S ribosomal RNA". It matches the Rfam family "Bacterial small subunit ribosomal RNA", at positions 28 to 507 of the family's 1533-position model. The record is from RNAcentral.